Molecule: unclassified non-coding RNA, 376 nt
Filed under: uncultured bacterium
Lineage: Bacteria
Description: contains 16S-23S intergenic spacer region
Source: RNAcentral
UCCGGCUUAUCACCGGCAGUCCCCUUAGAGUGCCCAACUUAAUGCUGGCAACAUAGGACAGGGGUUGCGCUCGUUGCGGGACUUAACCCAACAUCUCACGACACGAUCUGACGACAGCCAUGCACCACCUGUGAUGGUGUCCCGAAGGAAAGGUGUGUUUCCACACCGGUCACCAACAUGUCAAACCCAGGUAAGGUUCUUCGCGUUGCGUCGAAUUAAUCCGCAUGCUCCACCGCUUGUGCGGGCCCCCGUCAAUUCCUUUGAGUUUCAGCCUUGCGGCCGUACUCCCCAGGCGGGGCACUUACUGCGUUAGCGACGGCACCGGGAGGGUCGCUCCCCCCGACGCCUAGUGCCCAUCGUUUACGGCGUGGACUAC